RNAcentral lists this ribosomal RNA (450 nucleotides) under Salmonella enterica. RNAcentral's name for it is "partial 16S ribosomal RNA". The record is from RNAcentral. Lineage: Bacteria; Pseudomonadati; Pseudomonadota; Gammaproteobacteria; Enterobacterales; Enterobacteriaceae.
CAACUUGAGAGUUUGAUCCUGGCUCAGAACGAACGCUGGCGGCAGGCUUAACACAUGCAAGUCGAACGCCCYSGYAASGGGGAGUGGCAGACGGGUGAGUAACACGUGGGAACAUACCCUUYGGUUCGGAACAACGCCGGGAAACUGGCGCUAAUACCGGAUACGCCGKSMUCGUGAGGUGCUGGGAAAGGCUCGCUGCCGGAGGAUUGGCCCGCGUUCGAUUAGCUWGAUGGUGCGGGUAACGGCCCACCAUGGCGACGAUCGAUAGCUGGUCUGAGAGGAUGGCCAGCCACAUUGGGACUGAGACACGGCCCAAACUCCUACGGGAGGCAGCAGUGGGGAAUAUUGGACAAUGGGCGCAAGCCUGAUCCAGCCAUGCCGCGUGAGUGAUGACGGCCUUAGGGUUGUAAAGCUCUUUCGCACGCGACGAUAAUGACGGUAGCGUGAGAA